This 849-nucleotide ribosomal RNA is filed under the name uncultured bacterium. RNAcentral's name for it is "bacterial SSU rRNA". It matches the Rfam family "Bacterial small subunit ribosomal RNA", at positions 547 to 1397 of the family's 1533-position model. The record is from RNAcentral.
GNAUUUAUUGGGCGUAGAGGGAGCGCAGGCGGUCAGGAAAGUCUGGAGUAAAAGGCUAUGGNUCAACCAUAGUGUGCUCUGGAAACUNUCUGACUUGAGUGCAGAAGGGGAGAGUGGAAUUCCAUGUGUAGCGGUGAAAUGCGUAGAUAUAUGGAGGAACACCAGUGGCGAAAGCGGCUCUCUGGUCUGUCACUGACGCUGAGGCUCGAAAGCGUGGGUAGCGAACAGGAUUAGAUACCCUGGUAGUCCACGCCGUAAACGAUGAGUGCUAGGUGUUAGGCCCUUUCCGGGGCUUAGUGCCGGAGCUAACGCAAUAAGCACUCCGCCUGGGGAGUACGACCGCAAGGUUGAAACUCAAAGGAAUUGACGGGGGCCCGCACAAGCGGUGGAGCAUGUGGUUUAAUUCGAAGCAACGCGAAGAACCUUACCAGGUCUUGACAUCCCGAUGCUAUUCUUAGAGAUAGGAAGUUACUUCGGUACAUCGGAGACAGGUGGUGCAUGGUUGUCGUCAGCUCGUGUCGUGAGAUGUUGGGUUAAGUCCCGCAACGAGCGCAACCCUUAUUGUUAGUUGCCAUCAUUAAGUUGGGCACUCUAGCGAGACUGCCGGUAAUAAACCGGAGGAAGGUGGGGAUGACGUCAAAUCAUCAUGCCCCUUAUGACCUGGGCUACACACGUGCUACAAUGGUCGGUACAACGAGUCGCGAGCCGGUGACGGCAAGCUAAUCUCUGAAAGCCGAUCUCAGUUCGGAUUGGAGGCUGCAACUCGCCUCCAUGAAGUCGGAAUCGCUAGUAAUCGCGGAUCAGCACGCCGCGGUGAAUACGUUCCCGGGCCUUGUACACACCGCCCGU